This 307-nucleotide unclassified non-coding RNA is filed under the name plant metagenome. Its description in RNAcentral is "partial contains 5.8S ribosomal RNA, internal transcribed spacer 2, and large subunit ribosomal RNA". The stretch from base 1 to 105 matches the Rfam family "5.8S ribosomal RNA", at positions 50 to 154 of the family's 154-position model. The record is from RNAcentral.
GAAAUGCGAUAAGUAGUGUGAAUUGCAGAAUUCAGUGAAUCAUCGAAUCUUUGAACGCACAUUGCGCCCUUUGGUAUUCCAAAGGGCAUGCCUGUUCGAGCGUCAUUUGUACCCUCAAGCUUUGCUUGGUGUUGGGCGUCUUGUCUCUAGCUUUGCUGGAGACUCGCCUUAAAGUAAUUGGCAGCCGGCCUACUGGUUUCGGAGCGCAGCACAAGUCGCACUCUCUAUCAGCAAAGGUCUAGCAUCCAUUAAGCCUUUUUUCAACUUUUGACCUCGGAUCAGGUAGGGAUACCCGCUGAACUUAAGA